UACAGAGGUCUCAAGCGUUGUUCGGAUUCAUUGGGCGUAAAGGGCGCGUAGGCGGCCACCGCAAGUCGACUGUGAAAUCUCUGGGCUUAACCCAGAAAGGUCAGCCGAUACUGCGGGGCUAGAGUGCAGAAGGGGCAACUGGAAUUCUCGGUGUAGCGGUGAAAUGCGUAGAUAUCGAGAGGAACACCUGCGGCGAAGGCGGGUUGCUGGGCUGACACUGACGCUGAGACGCGAAAGCGUGGGGGAGCGAACAGG
Molecule: ribosomal RNA, 255 nt
Filed under: uncultured bacterium
Lineage: Bacteria
Description: partial 16S ribosomal RNA
Rfam family: Bacterial small subunit ribosomal RNA
Source: RNAcentral